Long non-coding RNA from Fopius arisanus, 384 nucleotides. RefSeq lists it as uncharacterized. Lineage: Eukaryota; Metazoa; Arthropoda; Insecta; Hymenoptera; Braconidae. The transcript is spliced from 2 exons. The record is from RefSeq and is a predicted model, not a curated record.
AAUGAUAAAAAGAAAACAGCGUUAUCGUUGUUAUUGUUCUACUUUGAACACAGGAGUGAGGUAAUAUCUGUUUAAACAAGGUGAUAGAAUGUAUUUAAGCAAUUCUAUUUUCAGGAAUCAGGCAAUACUAAAUGGCGCAGGAAUAAUUUAAUUUGUGAGAUAAUACGGAAUUGUUUUGACGACUAUUUUUCGGCCUUCAAGAGGCGCAUUUGAAUUUUAUUUUCGAAUUUUUCACUCGACUUGAAAUGUGAAAUUUAAUCAACUUGUUCAUUAAUUAGAUUAAACUUUAAUCACUCACUGAGCCUUGGAUAAUUGAUGAUAUAGCAAAAUAUCAUGGCACCGACUGUGACCUGGAAAAACGGAGCAACUCCACACUUUUUGGGU